Small nuclear RNA from Trachemys scripta elegans, 176 nucleotides. RefSeq annotates it as U2 spliceosomal RNA. The transcript has a single exon. The record is from RefSeq and is a predicted model, not a curated record. NCBI's taxonomy places the organism in Eukaryota, Metazoa, Chordata, Testudines, Emydidae.
AUCAUCUUAAUAAAAUUUUUAAAUCUGUUCUUAUCAGUUUAAUAUCUGAUAUGUCCUUUAUUUGAGGACUGUAUAUUAAAUUGAUUUUUGAAACAGGGGUCUAGAACAGAAACUUGCUCUGUCUGCCCUAUGCAUCAACCUGGUAUUGCAAUGCCUCCAGGAACAGUGCAUCUCCU